AGGCAUAAUAACAGUGGCACCUAUGAUACCAUAUUUCAUUGGUGCUGAAUAAAUUAUGCAAUAUAAAAUGGAAGACUAUCCAAUAUAGUUGGUUAAACAUAGUGGCCAGUUAUUAUUUCACACUUCCAACAUUU
Molecule: small nucleolar RNA, 134 nt
Organism: Harmonia axyridis
Lineage: Eukaryota; Metazoa; Arthropoda; Insecta; Coleoptera; Coccinellidae
Product: small nucleolar RNA SNORA14
Exons: 1
Source: RefSeq, a predicted model, not a curated record